CUUCAUUAUGGCUGCACGACGUCUCGGGCUGAUAAUGUUGUGCUUAUAUGAUCCUUGGACAAGAUUUGUCCGGGACUGCCAUGUGCUAACAGAAAUCUUGCUGGCGUCAUACCUGGCAGUGUCGAUGCCCAAGAAAGUCAUUGUUUUGAAGCCAGUCUGCUGUGGGAGUUCACGUACGAAAUCCAGCAGGGGGGCAGUGUUGUCAAACUGGCUCAGGUUAACACGCCUGGCGAGGAUGCGGUCUUGGACUUGGGUGGUGACUUUCCAGAUGACUUUCCAGAGUUUCCUCUCUGGAAAAGUCCUCAUGUUCCGAGCCAGAUCGACGCAAGCGUAAUAAAAAUAACCAUUCACUGCUAAGAAUUGACCAAAAAAUGAGCAUGCUGCACAAACCUGUGAAAGUUUGGGUCCAAUCUGAAUGUUCUCAAUGAAUCGGACAAGGAAAUCGAUGAUGCUGCUCCAUGGGUAGAUGCUGUUAGAACCGUCUAAGACAAUCACAAUGUCCAGCUCCUUUGCACACUCUAAAAGAGAGGUCACGCAAUUUACAUUUAAAAAAUUGUAAUGAGCAGUUUUGGGAGGUAGGAAGGCAUACCUUGAACGCCAGGUGCCACAGAGUUAAGAACCUGGAAGGACGAACUGACGUUGGCGCACACCCCUGAAAUGUAUUGCUGCUGACCGCACAUGUAGCCGUACUGUGGACCACAUGCCUACAGAUAGACAGACACACGCAAAACACACACAAAGUUGUUGUACAAAGAUGAGGAAACAGUGAAUUGAACAAGCAUAUUGGUAAUUAUUGUAUUCAAAUAAAACAGCAGUCAU
Long non-coding RNA from Corythoichthys intestinalis (scribbled pipefish), 819 nucleotides. RefSeq lists it as uncharacterized. The transcript has 3 exons. The record is from RefSeq and is a predicted model, not a curated record. Lineage: Eukaryota; Metazoa; Chordata; Actinopteri; Syngnathiformes; Syngnathidae.